Molecule: long non-coding RNA, 875 nt
Organism: Rhagoletis zephyria (snowberry fruit fly)
Lineage: Eukaryota; Metazoa; Arthropoda; Insecta; Diptera; Tephritidae
Source: RefSeq, a predicted model, not a curated record
UCGAAACUUGUGACAGCUGGAAAAUUGUGACAGAUACAUAUUUGAAAGUAGCAUUGGCUUUGUUUAUUUUUGCUUCAGCAAUUUAUUAUGUCGAAAAGAAGAUAAUCAGCUGCUUAGCCAUAGGGAAUGGAGCGCAGAGUAUUCGCAGGACAAAAUGGUGAUGACUAUUACUGGCUGAUGCAGAAACUUAACCAGAAGCCAAUGUAUUGAAUAUAAUAAUGUACGGAUCAUGAGAUAGUCGCGAGUAUGCUGUAAAGGAUAUGACAAAAGUGGAUAAUAAUUAACUCAAUCACCAAGAUAUCCAAAUAUUUCGAGUUUAUAACGAUGAAAUACAUCAAGACAAAGCAUCAGUAUAAUUUAUGAAUAUAUGUAUGUACGUUAUUUGCGCAACUAAGGGCCGGUUGUUCAAUGUCUGAUUAGCACAAAUCGGAGGUAGAAGCUCCGGUUAAGCACAACUACUGCUUUAUCGAUCACAUGUUACAUGCAUGAUGUCGAAAUCGUCGAUAGUGUAGUGGUAGUGAUAACCAGACAUUGAACAACCGGCCCUAAGUUCUUAUUCGGUAUUUAACCAUGGUUGCUCAUAUUGGAAAAUUUCCAUCAAUCAAUGCGAUUUUUGGCCAUUUUUCUAAGGGGUCCGUAGGGAACCAUAGGGCGCCUAGGUGGUCGGGGGUUGCAUUUUUGUCAAUGGCGGUUCAUGCCCUCUCCAAAAAGGUCGGUUGGAGGUGGCAUGCCCACUCCCCCUUCGCCCACCGUACCUUUAACGAACGGCCAUAAUGGAACGUUUCCCCCAGAAAUAAAAAAGACUGCUGCUUUGGCUUGAUGCAUUUCUGAAAUCUGAAGUAAAUGUGAAUCAUAAAAAUGUAAAUUAAGACUUA